RNAcentral lists this long non-coding RNA (518 nucleotides) under Phoenix dactylifera (date palm). RNAcentral describes it as "long non-coding RNA (PDAC_LNC022699)". Lineage: Eukaryota; Viridiplantae; Streptophyta; Magnoliopsida; Arecales; Arecaceae. The record is from RNAcentral.
UUUGUAAAAUCUUCUAUUGUGGUGCUUGUUCCAGUCAAGGGACUUGGAACAAGGGAAAGGCGUCCCAAGCCUAAGUGUAAUUGGGGGUUUUAGGGUUUGUUGUUAGUCCGGUGUAAAACAACGAGUUGGGUAGUGAACUCGCAAAAACUACCGUACUGUAAUCGUGGAUUAUAGUGGAAAUUCCCAACGGUGCUUUGGGGAGUGGAUGUAGGAGCGGUGGAGGCUCCGAACCACUAUAAAAGCUUGUGUUUGCGAUUGCUUGUCUUCAUAGCUUUAUUUUUGUUUAGCUCAUACAUUUGUGAGUUCUAUUUUUAAACAGUCAAAAGUUUUUAAAACACCCAAUUCACCCCCUCUUGGGUGACCAUCUCUGGGUAACAAGUGGUAUCAGAGCGGGUGCUCUGUGUAUUUCUUAAAAGACCUAACCGUCUUAGCCAAAGAUCUAGAUGGCAACACCCUUUAACAAUGUUCCUGCCGAGGGGCAAGCAACCAAUAGACCUCCACUCUUCAAUGGGACAAAU